RNAcentral lists this ribosomal RNA (901 nucleotides) under Psychrobacter sp. RNAcentral describes it as "bacterial SSU rRNA". It matches the Rfam family "Bacterial small subunit ribosomal RNA", at positions 74 to 975 of the family's 1533-position model. The record is from RNAcentral. Lineage: Bacteria; Pseudomonadati; Pseudomonadota; Gammaproteobacteria; Moraxellales; Moraxellaceae.
GCUUGCUAUCAGGCGUCGAGCGGCGGACGGGUGAGUAAUACUUAGGAAUCUACCUAGUAGUGGGGGAUAGCACGGGGAAACUCGUAUUAAUACCGCAUACGACCUACGGGAGAAAGGGGGCAGUUUACUGCUCUCGCUAUUAGAUGAGCCUAAGUCGGAUUAGCUAGAUGGUGGGGUAAAGGCCUACCAUGGCGACGAUCUGUAGCUGGUCUGAGAGGAUGAUCAGCCACACCGGGACUGAGACACGGCCCGGACUCCUACGGGAGGCAGCAGUGGGGAAUAUUGGACAAUGGGGGAAACCCUGAUCCAGCCAUGCCGCGUGUGUGAAGAAGGCCUUUUGGUUGUAAAGCACUUUAAGCAGUGAAGAAGACUCUUCGGUUAAUACCCGGAGACGAUGACAUUAGCUGCAGAAUAAGCACCGGCUAACUCUGUGCCAGCAGCCGCGGUAAUACAGAGGGUGCAAGCGUUAAUCGGAAUUACUGGGCGUAAAGGGAGCGUAGGUGGCUCUAUAAGUCAGAUGUGAAAUCCCCGGGCUUAACCUGGGAACUGCAUCUGAAACUGUAGAGCUAGAGUAUGUGAGAGGGAGGUAGAAUUUCAGGUGUAGCGGUGAAAUGCGUAGAGAUCUGAAGGAAUACCGAUGGCGAAGGCAGCCUCCUGGCAUAAUACUGACACUGAGGCUCGAAAGCGUGGGUAGCAAACAGGAUUAGAUACCCUGGUAGUCCACGCCGUAAACGAUGUCUACUAGUCGUUGGGUCCCUUGAGGACUUAGUGACGCAGCUAACGCAAUAAGUAGACCGCCUGGGGAGUACGGCCGCAAGGUUAAAACUCAAAUGAAUUGACGGGGGCCCGCACAAGCGGUGGAGCAUGUGGUUUAAUUCGAUGCAACGCGAAGAACCUUACC